GUGCCAGCCGCCGCGGUAAUACCGGCAGCCCGAGUGAUGGCCGAUCUUAUUGGGCCUAAAGCGUCCGUAGCUGGCCGCGCAAGUCCAUCGGGAAAUCCACCUGCUCAACAGGUGGGCGCCCGGUGGAAACUGUGCGGCUUGGGAUCGGAAGAUCCGAGGGGUACGUCCGGGGUAGGAGUGAAAUCCCGUAAUCCUGGACGGACCACCGAUGGCGAAAGCACCUCGGAAGGACGGAUCCGACAGUGAGGGACGAAAGCUAGGGUCUCGAACCGGAUUAGAAACCUGGUAUCC
This 291-nucleotide ribosomal RNA is filed under the name uncultured bacterium. Its description in RNAcentral is "partial 16S ribosomal RNA". It matches the Rfam family "Archaeal small subunit ribosomal RNA", at positions 455 to 747 of the family's 1478-position model. The record is from RNAcentral.